This 254-nucleotide ribosomal RNA is filed under the name uncultured bacterium. Its description in RNAcentral is "partial 16S ribosomal RNA". It matches the Rfam family "Bacterial small subunit ribosomal RNA", at positions 79 to 334 of the family's 1533-position model. The record is from RNAcentral.
CUUUCUUUGCUGGCGACCGGCGCACGGGUGAGUAACACGUAUCCAACCUGCCGAUAACUCCGGAAUAGCCUUUCGAAAGAAAGAUUAAUACCGGAUAGUACACGAAUAUCGCAUGAUAUUUUUAUUAAAGAAUUUCGGUUAUCGAUGGGGAUGCGUUCCAUUAGUUUGUUGGCGGGGUAACGGCCCACCAAGACUACGAUGGAUAGGGGUUCUGAGAGGAAGGUCCCCCACAUUGGAACUGAGACACGGUCCAA